This 463-nucleotide ribosomal RNA is filed under the name uncultured bacterium. Its description in RNAcentral is "partial 16S ribosomal RNA". It matches the Rfam family "Bacterial small subunit ribosomal RNA", at positions 28 to 507 of the family's 1533-position model. The record is from RNAcentral.
GAUGAACGCUGACAGAAUGCUUAACACAUGCAAGUCUUUGGCGAAGCUGUGCUUGCACAGCCUAGCCAAGGCGGACGGGUGAGUAACGCGUAAGGAACUUGCCCUGCAGUCAGGGAUAACAGACGGAAACGACUGAUAAGACCUGGUAAAGUCAGGCGGACUCAUGUCCAGCCUGAUGAAAAGAGAUGCUGCAGGAGAGCCUUGCGUCCUAUUAGCUUGUUGGUGGGGUAACGGCCCACCAAGGCGAUGAUAGGUAGCCGGCCUGAGAGGGUGGACGGCCACAAGGGGACUGAGAUACGGCCCUUACUCCUACGGGAGGCAGCAGUGGGGAAUAUUGGACAAUGGGGGCAACCUUGAUCCAGCAAUUCUGUGUGCACGAUGAAGGUUUUCGGAUUGUAAAGUGCUUUCAGCAGGGAAGAAAAAAAUGACGGUACCUGCAGAAGAAGCGACGGCUAAAUACGUG